Molecule: long non-coding RNA, 466 nt
Organism: Aethalodelphis obliquidens (Pacific white-sided dolphin)
Lineage: Eukaryota; Metazoa; Chordata; Mammalia; Artiodactyla; Delphinidae
Exons: 2
Source: RefSeq, a predicted model, not a curated record
GCCCGCCGCAGCCGUCUGGCAGCUGCUCCGGGGACCUUCGACCGUGCCCCGGGCAUCUAGGGUCACGAGGGCCAACGUGUAGUUUCAAGCCGCUGAAGCGGGAGAGACGCUGAAACUCACGACAUUUUUCGACAGUUCGUAAAGCGAGAAAAUCGAGGAGACCUUCCCGACUAGAGAGCUCCUUGGAGGUCAAAAGGGGAGUGAUGCCAAGCUGCCCAUAGGCCUCUUCGCUGGAAUCCAUCUUGGCUGAGAGAUGCGUGUGCACAUGGGAGGAACGUGAGAUAAACCAAACAUGGACUCAGAACCAGGAGAAUCAAAAUUAUUGGCCAAAGGGAACCCGGAAGAAAUGCUCCUCAUUAGUGAUUUAAACUACGCCAAGGGCACGACUCUCUCAGAGUCCUCCCGUGUGUCUAUCCACAUGUACUGUACUCUUUUCCUCCUAAUAAAUACUUUACUUGUUUCACUA